GGGGCUGCGGCUGUGGCUCUGUGGUAGAGCUUCUACUUGGCAUGCAGAUGGUCUCAGGUUCGAUUCCUGCCAUCCCCA
This 78-nucleotide transfer RNA is filed under the name Sphaerodactylus townsendi. Its description in RNAcentral is "tRNA-Ala". It matches the Rfam family "tRNA". Rfam says of the family: Transfer RNA (tRNA) molecules are approximately 80 nucleotides in length. The record is from RNAcentral. Lineage: Eukaryota; Metazoa; Chordata; Lepidosauria; Squamata; Sphaerodactylidae.